Molecule: small RNA, 27 nt
Filed under: Bombyx mori (domestic silkworm)
Lineage: Eukaryota; Metazoa; Arthropoda; Insecta; Lepidoptera; Bombycidae
Description: piRNA piR-bmo-1698357
Source: RNAcentral
UGUUGAUGUAUUGUGCCGUAUCGUUUC